RNAcentral lists this ribosomal RNA (638 nucleotides) under Alcaligenes sp. Its description in RNAcentral is "bacterial SSU rRNA". It matches the Rfam family "Bacterial small subunit ribosomal RNA", at positions 9 to 635 of the family's 1533-position model. The record is from RNAcentral. Lineage: Bacteria; Pseudomonadati; Pseudomonadota; Betaproteobacteria; Burkholderiales; Alcaligenaceae.
GAGUUUGAUCAUGGCUCAGAUUGAACGCUAGCGGGAUGCCUUACACAUGCAAGUCGAACGGCAGCGGGAAAGUAGCUUGCUACUUUUGCCGGCGAGUGGCGAACGGGUGAGUAAUGUAUCGGAACGUGCCCAGUAGCGGGGGAUAACUACGCGAAAGCGUGGCUAAUACCGCAUACGCCCUACGGGGGAAAGGGGGGGAUCUUAGGACCUCUCACUAUUGGAGCGGCCGAUAUCGGAUUAGCUAGUUGGUGGGGUAAAGGCCUACCAAGGCGACGAUCCGUAGCUGGUUUGAGAGGACGACCAGCCACACUGGGACUGAGACACGGCCCAGACUCCUACGGGAGGCAGCAGUGGGGAAUUUUGGACAAUGGGGGAAACCCUGAUCCAGCCAUCCCGCGUGUGCGAUGAAGGCUUCGGGUUGUAAAGCACUUUUGUCAGGGAAGAAAAGGUUUCGGAUAAUACCCGGNACUGAUGACGGUACCUGAAGAAUAAGCACCGGCUAACUACGUGCCAGCAGCCGCGGUAAUACGUAGGGUGCAAGCGUUAAUCGGAAUUACUGGGCGUAAAGCGUGCGCAGGCGGUUCGGAAAGAAAGAUGUGAAAUCCCAGGGCUCAACCUUGGAACUGCAUUUUUAACUA